This 73-nucleotide transfer RNA is filed under the name Stegodyphus mimosarum. It matches the Rfam family "tRNA". Rfam says of the family: Transfer RNA (tRNA) molecules are approximately 80 nucleotides in length. The record is from Rfam by way of RNAcentral. Lineage: Eukaryota; Metazoa; Arthropoda; Arachnida; Araneae; Eresidae.
GCCGUCAUUGUGUAGUGGUCAACACGUUCGGUGCGUAUUCGAAAGGUCCGUGGUUCAAGUCCCGGAGAGGGCA